Molecule: ribosomal RNA, 245 nt
Filed under: uncultured bacterium
Lineage: Bacteria
Description: partial 16S ribosomal RNA
Rfam family: Bacterial small subunit ribosomal RNA
Source: RNAcentral
AAGGGGAACAGUGGCGGACUGGUGAGUAACACGUAGGUGACCUGCCCCGAAGAGGGGGAUAACCAUUCGAAAGGAUGGCUAAUACCCCGUACGGUCGGUUAUUCGGUUAGCCGAUCAAAGCUCCGGUGCUUUGGGAGGGGCCUGCGGCCCAUCAGCUAGUUGGUAGGGUAACGGCCUACCAAGGCGAAGACGGGUAGCUGGUCUGAGAGGAUGAUCAGCCACAAUGGCACUGAAACACGGGCCAU